Molecule: ribosomal RNA, 803 nt
Filed under: uncultured bacterium
Lineage: Bacteria
Description: bacterial SSU rRNA
Rfam family: Bacterial small subunit ribosomal RNA
Source: RNAcentral
GACGAACGCUGGCGGCGUGCCUAAUACAUGCAAGUCGAACGCUUCCUACCGGUGCUUGCACCGGGAAAGAAGAGUGGCGGACGGGUGAGUAACACGUGGGUAACCUACCUACAAGCGGGGGAUAACAUUCGGAAACGGAUGCUAAUACCGCAUAGAUCUUUUUGUCUCCUGGCAGAAAGAAGAAAGACGGUUUCGGCUGCCACUUGUAGAUGGACCCGCGGCGCAUUAGUUAGUUGGUGAGGUAAUGGCUCACCAAGACGAUGAUGCGUAGCCGACCUGAGAGGGUGAUCGGCCACACUGGGACUGAGACACGGCCCAGACUCCUACGGGAGGCAGCAGUAGGGAAUCUUCCGCAAUGGACGAAAGUCUGACGGAGCAACGCCGCGUGAGUGAAGAAGGUUUUCGGAUCGUAAAACUCUGUUGUUAGAGAAGAACAAGGAUGAGAGUAACUGCUCGUCCCUUGACGGUAUCUAACCAGAAAGCCAUGGCUAACUACGUGCCAGCAGCCGCGGUAAUACGUAGAUGGCAAGCGUUGUCCGGAUUUAUUGGGCGUAAAGCGAGCGCAGGCGGUUCUUUAAGUCUGAUGUGAAAGCCCCUGGCUCAACCAGGGAGGGUCAUUGGAAACUGGAGAACUUGAGUGCAGAAGAGGAAAGUGGAAUUCCAUGUGUAGCGGUGAAAUGCGUAGAUAUAUGGAGGAACACCAGUGGCGAACGCGACUUUCUGGUCUGCAACUGGCGCGGAGGCUCGAAAGCAUGGGGAGCAAACAGGAUUAGAUACCCUGGUAGUCCAUGCCGUAAACGAUG